Molecule: ribosomal RNA, 380 nt
Filed under: uncultured eukaryote
Lineage: Eukaryota
Description: partial 18S ribosomal RNA
Rfam family: Eukaryotic small subunit ribosomal RNA
Source: RNAcentral
CAAUAGCGUAUAUUAAAGUUGUUGCGGUUAAAAAGCUCGUAGUUGGAUUUCUGCUGAGAACGACCGGUCCGCCCUCUGGGUGUGUAUCUGGCUCUUUCUUGGCAUCUUCUUGGUGAACGUUGCUGCACUUGACUGUGUGGAGCGCUACCCAGGACUUUUACUUUGAGGAAAUUAGAGUGUUUCAAGCAGGCAUACGCCUUGAAUACAUUAGCAUGGAAUAAUAAGAUAGGACCUCGGUUCUAUUUUGUUGGUUUCUAGAGCUGAGGUAAUGAUUAAUAGGGAUAGUUGGGGGCAUUCGUAUUUAACUGUCAGAGGUGAGAUUCUUGGAUUUGUUAAAGGCGGACUACUGCGAAAGCAUUUGCCAAGGAUGUUUUCAUUGA